This 319-nucleotide ribosomal RNA is filed under the name uncultured bacterium. Its description in RNAcentral is "bacterial SSU rRNA". It matches the Rfam family "Bacterial small subunit ribosomal RNA", at positions 29 to 346 of the family's 1533-position model. The record is from RNAcentral.
AUUGAACGCUGGCGGAAUGCUUUACACAUGCAAGUCGAGCGGCAGCGCGGGGGCAACCCUGGCGGCGAGCGGCGAACGGGUGAGUAACAUAUCGGAACGUACCCAGUCGUGGGGGAUAACUAUCCGAAAGGAUAGCUAAUACCGCAUACGUCCUGAGGGAGAAAGACGGGGGAGUCGCAAGACCUCGCGCGAUUGGAGCGGCCGAUAUCGGAUUAGCUAGUUGGUGGGGUAAAGGCUCACCAAGGCGACGAUCCGUAGCGGGUCGUGAGAGGACGACCCGCCACACUGGAACUGAGACACGGUCCAGACUCCUACGGGA